Molecule: microRNA precursor, 52 nt
Filed under: Sus scrofa (pig)
Lineage: Eukaryota; Metazoa; Chordata; Mammalia; Artiodactyla; Suidae
Description: mir-1302 microRNA precursor family
Rfam family: mir-1302 microRNA precursor family
Source: Rfam by way of RNAcentral
UUUUUAGUGUAAUUGUGUCUUAUGCAAUAUUUGAGACAUAUUUAUACUAAAC